RNAcentral lists this ribosomal RNA (1107 nucleotides) under Vibrio sp. RNAcentral describes it as "bacterial SSU rRNA". It matches the Rfam family "Bacterial small subunit ribosomal RNA", at positions 245 to 1344 of the family's 1533-position model. The record is from RNAcentral. Lineage: Bacteria; Pseudomonadati; Pseudomonadota; Gammaproteobacteria; Vibrionales; Vibrionaceae.
CUAGUUGGUGAGGUAAUGGUUCACCAAGGCGACGAUCCCUAGCUGGUCUGAGAGGAUGAUCAGCCACACUGGAANUGAGACACGGUCCAGAUUCCUACGGGAGGCAGCAGUGGGGAAUAUUGCACAAUGGGCGCAAGCCUGAUGCAGCCAUGCCGCGUGUGUGAAGAAGGCCUUCGGGUUGUAAAGCACUUUCAGUCGUGAGGAAGGUAGUGUAGUUAAUAGCUGCAUUAUUUGACGUUAGCGACAGAAGAAGCACCGGCUAACUCCGUGCCAGCAGCCGCGGUAAUACGGAGGGUGCGAGCGUUAAUCGGAAUUACUGGGCGUAAAGCGCAUGCAGGUGGUUUGUUAAGUCAGAUGUGAAAGCCCGGGGCUCAACCUCGGAAUAGCAUUUGAAACUGGCAGACUAGAGUACUGUAGAGGGGGGUAGAAUUUCAGGUGUAGCGGUGAAAUGCGUAGAGAUCUGAAGGAAUACCGGUGGCGAAGGCGGCCCCCUGGACAGAUACUGACACUCAGAUGCGAAAGCGUGGGGAGCAAACAGGAUUAGAUACCCUGGUAGUCCACGCCGUAAACGAUGUCUACUUGGAGGUUGUGGCCUUGAGCCGUGGCUUUCGGAGCUAACGCGUUAAGUAGACCGCCUGGGGAGUACGGUCGCAAGAUUAAAACUCAAAUGAAUUGACGGGGGCCCGCACAAGCGGUGGAGCAUGUGGUUUAAUUCGAUGCAACGCGAAGAACCUUACCUACUCUUGACAUCCAGAGAACUUUCCAGAGAUGGAUUAGUGCCUUCGGGAACUCUGAGACAGGUGCUGCAUGGCUGUCGUCAGCUCGUGUUGUGAAAUGUUGGGUUAAGUCCCGCAACGAGCGCAACCCUUAUCCUUGUUUGCCAGCGAGUAAUGUCGGGAACUCCAGGGAGACUGCCGGUGAUAAACCGGAGGAAGGUGGGGACGACGUCAAGUCAUCAUGGCCCUUACGAGUAGGGCUACACACGUGCUACAAUGGCGCAUACAGAGGGCAGCAAGCUAGCGAUAGUGAGCGAAUCCCAAAAAGUGCGUCGUAGUCCGGAUUGGAGUCUGCAACUCGACUCCAUGAAGUCGGAAUCGCUAGUAAUCG